RNAcentral lists this ribosomal RNA (406 nucleotides) under uncultured bacterium. RNAcentral's name for it is "partial 16S ribosomal RNA". It matches the Rfam family "Bacterial small subunit ribosomal RNA", at positions 29 to 526 of the family's 1533-position model. The record is from RNAcentral.
AUUGAACGCUGGCGGCAGGCCUAACACAUGCAAGUCGAACGAGUGGCGGACGGGUGAGUAAUGUCUGGGAAACCGCCUGAUGGAGGGGGAUAACUACUGGAAACGGUAGCUAAUACCGCAUACCAUCAGAUGCGCCCAGAUGGGAUUAGCUUGUUGGUGGGGUAACGGCUCACCAUGGCGACGACCCCUAGGUGGUCGGAGAGGAGGACCGGCGACCCUGAAACGGAGGCACGGUCCAGACUCCUACGGGGGGCAGCAGUGGGGAAUAUUGCACGAUGGGCGCAAGCCUGAUGCAGCCAUGCCGCGUGUAUGAAGAAGGCCUUCGGGUUGUAAAGUACUUUCAGCGGGGAGGCGUUACCCGCAGAAGAAGCACCGGCUAACUCCGUGCCAGCAGCCGCGGUAAUAC